CCUACGGGUGGCAGCAGUGAGGAAUAUUGGUCAAUGGGCGCUAGCCUGAACCAGCCAAGUAGCGUGAAGGAUGACUGCCCUACGGGUUGUAAACUUCUUUUAUAAAGGAAUAAAGUGCAGCACGUGUGCUUUUUUGCAUGUACUUUAUGAAUAAGGAUCGGCUAACUCCGUGCCAGCAGCCGCGGUAAUACGGAGGAUCCUAGCGUUAUCCGGAUUUAUUGGGUUUAAAGGGAGCGUAGGUGGUUUGUUAAGUCAGUUGUGAAAGUUUGCGGCUCAACCGUAAAAUUGCAGUUGAAACUGGCAGGCUUGAGUACAGUAGAGGUGGGCGGAAUUCGUGGUGUAGCGGUGAAAUGCUUAGAUAUCACGAAGAACUCCGAUUGCGAAGGCAG
This 389-nucleotide ribosomal RNA is filed under the name uncultured bacterium. Its description in RNAcentral is "partial 16S ribosomal RNA". It matches the Rfam family "Bacterial small subunit ribosomal RNA", at positions 338 to 724 of the family's 1533-position model. The record is from RNAcentral.